RNAcentral lists this ribosomal RNA (506 nucleotides) under uncultured bacterium. RNAcentral's name for it is "partial 16S ribosomal RNA". It matches the Rfam family "Bacterial small subunit ribosomal RNA", at positions 28 to 507 of the family's 1533-position model. The record is from RNAcentral.
GACGAACGCUGGCGGCGUGCUUAACACAUGCAAGUCGAACGGUGAAGGUACUGGUUUUGCUGGUCCUUGAUGAGUGGCGAACGGGUUAGUAACACGUGAGUAACCUUCCCCCUUCUUCUGGAUAACCGCAUGCAAGUGUGGCUAAUACGGGUUCUUCUGGGUCUGUCUCAUGGUGGGCCUGGGAAAGAUUUCGCCUUUUUUGGUGUUUUUGGUGGGGGAUGGGGUCGGGGGCGAUCAUCUUGUUGGUGGGGUGUUGGCCUUCCAAGGCGGUGACGGGGAGCGGGACUGAGAGGGAGGAGGGGCACGGUGGGAAUGGGACACGGCCAAGACCCCGACGGGAGGCAGAAGUGGGAAAUAUGGCAAAAGGGGCGUAAGCGUGAUGCAGCGACGCCGAGUGAGGGAUGGAGGCCGUGGGGUUGUGAACCUCUUUCGCCAGUGAAGCAGGCCUGGCUCUUUUUGUGGGUGGGUUGACGGUAGCUGGAGAAGAAGCGCCGGCUAACUACGUG